This 484-nucleotide ribosomal RNA is filed under the name uncultured bacterium. RNAcentral describes it as "partial 16S ribosomal RNA". It matches the Rfam family "Bacterial small subunit ribosomal RNA", at positions 30 to 507 of the family's 1533-position model. The record is from RNAcentral.
AUUGAACGCUGGCGGCAGGCCUAACACAUGCAAGUCGAGCGGAUGAAGGGAGCUUGCUCCUGGAUUCAGCGGCGGACGGGUGAGUAAUGCCUAGGAAUCUGCCGGGUAGUGGGGGAUAACGUCCGGAAACGGGCGCUAAUACCGCAUACGUCCUGAGGGAGAAAGUGGGGGAUCUUCGGACCUCACGCUAUCAGAUGAGCCUAGGUCGGAUUAGCUAGUUGGUGGGGUAAAGGCCUACCAAGGCGACGAUCCGUAACUGGUCUGAGAGGAUGAUCAGUCACACUGGAACUGAGACACGGUCCAGACUACUACGGGAGGCAGCAGUGGGGAAUAUUGGACAAUAGGCGAAAGCCUGAUCCAGCCAUGCCGCGUGUGUGAAGAAGGUCUUCGGAUUGUAAAGCACUUUAAGUUGGGAGGAAGGGCAGUAAGUUAAUACCUUGCUGUUUUGACGUUACCAACAGAAUAAGCACCGGCUAACUUCGUG